UACGUAGGGGGCAAGCGUUGUCCGGAAUCAUUGGGCGUAAAGAGCGUGUAGGCGGCUUGGUAAGUCCGCUGUGAAAGUCCAGGGCUCAACCCUGGAAUGCCGGUGGAAACUGUCAAGCUUGAGUCCGGAAGAGGCGAGUGGAAUUCCUGGUGUAGCGGUGAAAUGCGCAGAUAUCAGGAGGAACACCAGUGGCGAAGGCGAGUCUCUGGACAUUUCCUGACGCUGAGGCACGAAAGCCAGGGGAGCAAACGGG
Molecule: ribosomal RNA, 253 nt
Filed under: uncultured bacterium
Lineage: Bacteria
Description: partial 16S ribosomal RNA
Rfam family: Bacterial small subunit ribosomal RNA
Source: RNAcentral